GAUGAACGCUAGCGGCAGGCCUAACACAUGCAAGUCGAGGGGUAGAGAUAGCUUGCUAUCUUGAGACCGGCGCACGGGUGCGUAACGCGUAUGCAAUCUACCUUUUACUUAGGAAUAGCCCGGAGAAAUCCGGAUUAAUGCCUGAUAGUAUUUUUUUAUGGCAUCAUAAUUAGAUUAAAGAUUCAUCGGUAAAAGAUGAGCAUGCGUCCCAUUAGUUAGUUGGUGUGGUAACGGCACACCAAGACGAUGAUGGGUAGGGGUCCUGAGAGGGAGAUCCCCCGCACUGGUACUGAGACACGGACCAGACUCCUACGGGAGGCAGCAGUGAGGAAUAUUGGUCAAUGGAGGCAACUCUGAACCAGCCAUGCCGCGUGCAGGAUGACGGUCCUAUGGAUUGUAAACUGCUUUUAUACAGGAAGAAACGACUCUUGCGAGAGGCAUUGACGGUACUGUAUGAAUAAGCACCGGCUAACUCCGUGCCAGCAGCCGCCGUAA
Molecule: ribosomal RNA, 495 nt
Filed under: uncultured bacterium
Lineage: Bacteria
Description: partial 16S ribosomal RNA
Rfam family: Bacterial small subunit ribosomal RNA
Source: RNAcentral